UAUGAGCUCUUCGGAUUGGCCCCGUACUGCCCGCUUCGCGGCGGGCUACCGGCGGCCGAGAAGAUGCGCAAAUUGACUGGGGUAGAGGUCGUAAAAGUCGUAACAAGGUAUCCGUAGGUGAACCUGCGGAUGGAUCAUUACC
This 142-nucleotide ribosomal RNA is filed under the name Mactra chinensis. RNAcentral's name for it is "partial 18S ribosomal RNA". It matches the Rfam family "Eukaryotic small subunit ribosomal RNA", at positions 1700 to 1831 of the family's 1831-position model. Lineage: Eukaryota; Metazoa; Mollusca; Bivalvia; Venerida; Mactridae. The record is from RNAcentral.